Molecule: ribosomal RNA, 760 nt
Filed under: uncultured Inocybe
Lineage: Eukaryota; Fungi; Basidiomycota; Agaricomycetes; Agaricales; Cortinariaceae
Description: partial 28S ribosomal RNA
Rfam family: Eukaryotic large subunit ribosomal RNA
Source: RNAcentral
GAAUCCCGUCUUUGACACGGACUGCCUGUACAUUAUGGUGUGCUCUCGAAGAGUCGAGUUGUUUGGGAAUGCAGCUCAAAAUGGGUGGUAAAUGCCAUCUAAAGCUAAAUAUUGGCGAGAGACCGAUAGCGAACAAGUACCGUGAGGGAAAGAUGAAAAGAACUUUGGAAAGAGAGUUAAACAGUACGUGAAAUUGCUGAAAGGGAAACGCUUGAAGUCAGUCGCGUUGGCUAGAAGUCAACCUUGCUUUUGCUUUGUGUACUUUCUGGUUGACGGGUCAGCAUCAAUUUUGACCACUGGAUAAAGUCUUUGGGAAUGUGGCAUCUUCGGAUGUGUUAUAGCCCAUUGUCGCAUACGGUGGUUGGGAUUGAGGAACUCAGCACGCCGCAAGGCCGGGUUUCGACCACGUUCGUGCUUAGGAUGCUGGCAUAAUGGCUUUAAUCGACCCGUCUUGAAACACGGACCAAGGAGUCUAACAUGCCUGCGAGUGUUUGGGUGGAAAAACCCAUGCGCGCAAUGAAAGUGAAAGUUGAGAUCCUCUUCAAAGGGGGAGCAUUGACGCCCGGACCAGACCUUUUGUGACGGAUCCGCGGUAGAGCAUGCAUGUUGGGACCCGAAAGAUGGUGAACUAUGCCUGAAUAGGGUGAAGCCAGAGGAAACUCUGGUGGAGGCUCGUAGCGAUUCUGACGUGCAAAUCGAUCGUCAAAUUUGGGUAUAGGGGCGAAAGACUAAUCGAACCAUCUAGUAGCUGGUUCCUGCC